AUUGAACGCUGGCGGUAGGCCUAACACAUGCAAGUCGAGCGGAUGAAGGGAGCUUGCUCCUGGAUUCAGCGGCGGACGGGUGAGUAAUGCCUAGGAAUCUGCCUGGUCGUGGGGGAUAACGUCCGGAAACGGGCGCUAAUACCGCAUACGUCCUGAGGGAGAAAGAGGGGGAUCUUCGGACCUCACGCUAUCAGAUGAGCCUAGGUCGGAUUAGCUAGUUGGUGGGGUAAAGGCCUACCAAGGCGACGAUCCGUAACUGGUCUGAGAGGAUGAUCAGGCACACUUGAACUGAGACACGGUCCAGACUCGUACGGGAGGCAGCAGUGGGGAAUAUUGGACGAUGCGCGAAAGCCUGAUCCAGCCAUGCCGCGUGUGUGAAGAAGGUCUUCGGAGUGUAAAGCACUUUAAGUUGGGAUGAAGGGCAGUAAGUUAAUACCUUGCUGUUUUGACGUUACCAACAGAAUAAGCACCGGCUAACUUCGUG
RNAcentral lists this ribosomal RNA (484 nucleotides) under uncultured bacterium. RNAcentral's name for it is "partial 16S ribosomal RNA". It matches the Rfam family "Bacterial small subunit ribosomal RNA", at positions 30 to 507 of the family's 1533-position model. The record is from RNAcentral.